GCCUUCGUGGUGUAAUGGUCAGCACGCUCGACCCGUAAACGAGAGGUCCGUGGUUCUAUUCCUGGCAAAAGCG
Molecule: non-coding RNA, 73 nt
Organism: Stegodyphus mimosarum
Lineage: Eukaryota; Metazoa; Arthropoda; Arachnida; Araneae; Eresidae
Source: Rfam